UAGCUCAGUGGUAAAGUGCUCGGCUGCUAACCAAAAGGUUGGUGGUUCGAACCCAUC
Molecule: transfer RNA, 57 nt
Filed under: Loxodonta africana (African savanna elephant)
Lineage: Eukaryota; Metazoa; Chordata; Mammalia; Proboscidea; Elephantidae
Rfam family: tRNA
About the family: Transfer RNA (tRNA) molecules are approximately 80 nucleotides in length. Their secondary structure includes four short double-helical elements and three loops (D, anti-codon, and T loops).
Source: Rfam by way of RNAcentral